AAAAAUUGAAAAACAUAUAAGACCUAAUAAUAUAAAAGUCAGAGAAAAAAUUAAAAAGAGCAAAGUUAAUGCAAAAUAAAAAAAAAGUAUGAGAAUUUAAAAACGCAAAUAAGAAAUGAAAGGAAAUUUGUGGGAAAAAAAAAAGAAAAGACAAAAGAUUUGGAAUAAAAAACAGAAAAAUAAAAAUUUUAAAACAAUGAAAAAUUAAAACAAGUAAACAUGAAAGCAUAUGUAAAAAAAGCAAAAAGAAGGAAAAUUGUGAAGGGAAAAAGUUAUUAAGAAAUUACAAAGUAGAAAAAAAUAAGAAAAUAAAAAAAAUAAAUAAAAUACCAAAAAAGGAAAAAAUAAAAAAUUAGCGAAUCAAAAAAAUAUAAAAAGACAAAAUGAAUAAUCAAAUAUAAAAUGGAAAAAACUUUUAGUUUAGAAUUUACAAAGAAAAAGAAAAAAAAUAACAAAUAGAGGAAAAAGAUAUAAAAUAUGAAAGAUGAAAAAUAAAAUAAAAGAAAGUGCACAAAAAAGAAGUUUGAGGUUUUAAAGUUAUAAAGAAGAAAAAAAAAAGGUGUGAACAAAAAGAUUUAAGAAAAAAAUAAAAAAUGAAAAUACAAAAUAUAUAAAAUAAAAUUUGAGAAAAAGAAGAAAAAAAAUAAAGAAUGAAGAGGCAAAAAUAUGAAAUAAAACAAAAAGAAAAAAAUUUAUAGAAAAUUUUAAAACAAAGAAAAAACUGAACGAAAAAGAAUGAAAGCACAUAAAAAAAAGUAAAAAAAGAAGAAAAAUUCGGAAGGAGAAAAAGUUAAUGAAAAAUUAUAAAAAUGCAACAGAAAAUAACCAAGAAUGAUAAAAGAAAAAAAGAUAGAAAAAUAAAAAAUUUCAAAACUUUAUAAAAAUUUAUGAAAUUAUGAAUAAAGAAAGAAAAUAAAAUAAGAAAAAAAAUUAAAGCAAAAGAAAAAAGAUAGAUAAAGCACGAAAAAAGAAAAAAAAACAAAAAUACAACAAAAAAUUAUAAAAAGUAAGAAAAUGAAAAAGGACAAAAAUUGAAUAAAAAUUUCAAAAAUGAAAUGGAGUGACAAAAUGAAAAAAAAAAUUAGUUUAAAAAAUACAAAAAUUUAAAAAACAUAUAAGACCAAACAAUCUAAAAAGUCUGACAAAAAAUUAAAAAAGAGAAAAGUUAAUGCAAAAUUAAAAAAAAAAAGUAUGAGAAUUUAAAAACGCAAAUAAGAAAUGAAAGGAAAUUUGUGGAAAAAAAAAGAAAAGACAAAAGAUUUGGAAUAAAAAAGAGAAAAAUAAAAAUUUUUAAAACAACGAAAAAAUCAAAAAAGUAAAAUGAAAACAUAUGAAAAAAAAAAAGCAAAAAGAAGGAAAAUUGCAAAGGGAAAAGUUAUUAAAAAUUUACAAAGUAAAAAAAGUUAGGGAAUCAAAAAAUAUAAAGGAAAAAAUAAAAAUAAACAAAGUAAGAAAAUAAAAAAUUAGGGAAUCAAAAAAUAUAAAAAGACAAAAUGAAUAAAAAUUUCGAAUAUAAAAAGAAAGUGCACAAAAAAAGAAGUUUGAGGUUUUAAAAUUACAAAGAAGAAAUAAAAAAAGGUGUGAACAAAAAGAUUUAAGAAAAAAAUAACAAAUGAAAAUACAAAAUAUAUAAAAAAAUAUUUGAGAAAAAAAUGAGAAAAAGAAGAAAAAAAUAAAAAAUGAAGAGGCAAAAAUAUGAAAUAAAACAAAAAGAAAAAAAAUACAAAAAAAGGACAAAAAUUGAAUAAAAAUUUCAAAAAUGAAAUGGAACGACAAAAUGAAAAAAAAAAGUUUAAAAAAGACAAAAAAAAAUGAAAAACGUAUAAGUCCUAACAAUAUAAAAAGUCAGACAAAAAAUUAAAAAAGAGAAAAGUUAAUGCAAAAAAAAAAAAGUAUGAGAAUUUAAAAAUACAAAUAAGAAAUGAAAGGAAAUGUGUGGAAAAAAAAAGAGAAGCAAGAAAAGACAAAAGAUUUGGAAUAAAAAAUAGAAAAAUAAAAAUUUUUAAAACAACGAAAAAAUUAAAACCAGUAAAAAUGAAAGCAUAUGAAAAAAAAGCAAAAAGAAGGAAAAUUGUGAAGGAAAAAGUUAUUAAAAAAUUACAAAGUUGAAAAAAAAUAAAUUAAGCGAAAAAAUUAAAUAAAAUACCCAGAAAGGAAAAAUAAAAUAAACAAAGUAAGAAAAUAAAAAAUUAGCGAAGCAAAAAAAUAUAAAAAGACAAAUGAAUAAAAAUUUCAAAUAUAAAAUGGAAAAAACUUUUAGUUUAGAAUGUAGAAAGAAAAACAAAAAAAAAAAAAACAAAUAGAGGAAAAAGAUAUAAAAUAUGAAAGAUGAAAAAUAAAAUAAAAGAAAGUGCACAAAAAAAGAAGUUUGAGGUUUUAAAAUUAUAAAGAAGAAAUAAAAAAGGUGCGAACAAAAAGAUUUAAGAAAAAAAUAAAAAAUGAAAAUGCAAAAUAUAUAAAAUAAAAUUUGAGAAAAAGAAGAAAAAAUAAAAAAUGAAGAGGCAAAAAUAUGAAAAAAAAAUAAAAAGAAAAAAUUUAUAGAAAAUUUUAAAACAAAGAAAAAGUGAACAAAAAAAAUGAAAGCACAUAAAAAAAAGUAAAAAAAAGAAGAAAAAUUCGGAAGGAGAAAAAGUUAAUGAAAAAUUAUAAAAAUGCAAUAGAAAAUAACCAAGAAUGAUAAAAGAAAAAAAGAUAGAAAAAUAAAAAAUUCCAAAACUUUAUAAAAAUUUAUGAAAUUAUAAAUAAAGAAAGAAAAUUAAAGCAAAAGAAAAAAGAUAAAUAAAGCACAAAAAAAAAAACAAAAAUACAACAAAAAAUAUAAAAAGUAAGAAAAUGAAAAAGGACAAAAAUUGAAUAAAAAUUUCAAAAAUGAAAUGGAAUGACAAAAUGAAAAAAAUUAGUUUAAAAAAUACAAAAAAUUGAAAAACAUAUAAGUUCUAACAAUAUAAAAAGUUUGGGAAUUUAAAAACACAAAUAAGAAAUGAAAGGAAAUUUAUGGAAAAAAAAAAGAAAAGACAAAAGAUUUGGAAUAAAAAAUAGAAAAAUAAAAUUUUUAAAACGACGAAAAAUUAAAAUAAGAAAAAAAAUUAAAGCAAAAGAAAAAAGAUAAAUAAAGCAUGAAAAAAGAAAAAAAAAAAAACAACAAAAAUUAUAAAAGGUAAGAAAAUGAAAGAGGACAAAAAAUGAAUAAAAAUUUCAAAAAUGAAAUGGAAUGACAAAAUGAAAAUAAAAUUAGUUUAAAAAAUAAAAAAAAUUGAAAAACAUAUAAGACCUAACAAUAUAAAAAGUCAGACAAAAAAUUAAAAAAGAGAAAAGUUAAUGCAAAAUAAAAAAAAAGUAUGAGAAUUUAAAAGCGCAAAUAAGAAAUGAAAGGAAAUUUGAGGAAAAAAAGAGACAAAAGAUUUGGAAUAAAAAUAGAAAAAUAGAAAUUUUAAAACAACAAAAAAAAUUAAAACAAGUAAAAAUGAAAGCAUAUGAAAAAAAAGCAAAAAGAAGGCAAAUUAUGAAGGGAAAAAGUUAUUAAAAAAUUACAAAGUAGAAAAAAAGAAAAUAAAAAAUAAAUUAAGAGAAAAAAUUAAAUAAAAUACCAAAAAAGGAAAAAAUAAAAAUAAACAAAGUAAGAAAAUAAAAAUUAGCGAAUCAAAAAAUAUAAAAAGACAAAAUGAAUAAAAAUUUCAAAUAUAAAAUGAAAAAAACUAUUGGUUCAGAAUGUACAAAGAAAAAUAAAAAAAAUAUAACAAACAGAGGAAAAAGAUAUAAAAUAUGAAAGAUGAAAAAUAAAAUAAAAGAAAGUGCACAAAAAAAGAAGUUUGAGGUUUUAAAACUAUAAAGAAGAAAUAAAAAAAGGUGUGAACAAAAAGAUUUAAGAAAAAAAAAGAAAAUACAAAAUAUAUAAAAUAAAAUUUGAGAAAAAGAAGAAAAAAAUAAAAAAUGAAGAGGCAAAAAUAUGAAAUAAAAGAAAAAGAAAAAAUUUAUAGAAAAUUUUAAAACAAAGAAAAAAGUGAACAAAAAAGAAUGAUGGCAUAUAAAAAAAAGUAAAAAAAGAAGAAAAAUUUGGAAGGAGAAAAAGUUAAUGAAAAAAAUAUAAAAAUGCAAUAGAAAAUAACCAAGAAUGAUAAAAGAAAAAAAGAUAGAAAAAUAAAAAUUCUAAAACUUUAUAAAAAUUUAUGAAAUUAUAAAUAAAGAAAGAAAAUAAAAAUAAAAUAAAAUAAGAAAAAAAAGUAAAGCAAAAGAAAAAAGAUAAAUAAAGCACAAAAAAAACAAAAAUACAACAAAAAAUAUAAAAAGUAAGAAAAUAAAAAAAGGACAAAAAUUGAAUAAAAAUUUCAAAAAUGAAAUGGAAUGACAAAAUGAAAAAAAAAUUAGUUUAACAAAAAAUUGAAAAACAUAUAAGACCUAAUAAUAUAAAAAGUCAGAGAAAAAAUUAAAAAAGAGCAAAGUUAAUGCAAAAUAAAAAAAAGUAUGAGAAUUUAAAAACGCAAAUAAGAAAUGAAAGGAAAUUUGUGGAAAAAAAAAAGAAAAGACAAAAGAUUUGGAAUAAAAAACAGAAAAAUAAAAAUUUUUAAAACAAUGAAAAAUUAAAACAAGUAAACACGAAAGCAUAUGUAAAAAAAGCAAAAAGAAGGAAAAUUGUGAAGGGAAAAAGUUAUUAAGAAAUUACAAAGUAGAAAAAAAUAAGAAAAUAAAAAAUAAAUUAAGAGAAAAAAAAUUAAAUAAAAUACCAAAAAAGGAAAAAAUAAAAAAUUAGCGAAUCAAAAAAAUAUAUAAAAAGACAAAAUGAAUAAAACCUUUAGUUUAGAAUGUACAAAGAAAAAGAAAAAAAAAUAACAAAUAGAGGAAAAAGAUAUAAAAUAUGAAAGAUGAAAAACGAAAUAAAAGAAAGUGCACAAAAAAAGAAGUUUGAGGUUUUAAAAUUAUAAAAAAGAAAUUAAAAAAAGGUGUGAACAAAAAGAUUUAAGAAAAAAAAUAAAAAUGAAAAUACAAAAUAUAUAAAAUAAAAAUUGAAGAAAAAGAAGAGGCAAAAAUAUGAAAUAAAACAAAAAGAAAAAAAUUUAUAGAAAA
This 5061-nucleotide long non-coding RNA is filed under the name Durio zibethinus. Its description in RNAcentral is "long non-coding RNA (DZIB_LNC002164)". Lineage: Eukaryota; Viridiplantae; Streptophyta; Magnoliopsida; Malvales; Malvaceae. The record is from RNAcentral.